GGGUUAACGUCCCGUAACGAGCGCAACCCUUGUCCUUAGUUACCAGCACGUUAUGGUGGGCACUCUAAGGAGACUGCCGGUGACAAACCGGAGGAAGGGUGGGGAUGACGUCAAGUCAUCAUCGGCCCUUACGGCCGUGGGCUACACACGUGCUACAAUGGUCGGUACAAAGGGUUGCCAAGCCGCGAGGUGGAGCUAAUCCCAUAAAACCGAUCGUAGUCCGGAUCGCAGUCUGCAACUCGACUGCGUGAAGUCGGAAUCGCUAGUAAUCGUGAAUCAGAAUGUCACGGUGAAUACGUUCCCGGGCCUU
RNAcentral lists this ribosomal RNA (310 nucleotides) under uncultured Pseudomonas sp. RNAcentral describes it as "bacterial SSU rRNA". It matches the Rfam family "Bacterial small subunit ribosomal RNA", at positions 1077 to 1382 of the family's 1533-position model. Lineage: Bacteria; Pseudomonadati; Pseudomonadota; Gammaproteobacteria; Pseudomonadales; Pseudomonadaceae. The record is from RNAcentral.